AACGAACGCUGGCGGCGUGCUUAACACAUGCAAGUCGAACGAGAAAGUCCUUCGGGGCGAGUAGAGUGGCGCACGGGUGAGUAAUAGAUAGGAACGUGUCGAUUGGAGGGGGAUAACUACGGGAAACUGUAGCUAAUACCGCAUAAUAUCUUCGGAUCAAAGGGGGCCUCUUCUUGAAAGCUUCCACCAAUCGAGUGGCCUAUCUCCCAUUAGCUUGUUGGUAGGGUAAAGGCCUACCAAGGCGACGAUGGGUAGCUGGUCUGAGAGGAUGAUCAGCCACACUGGGACUGAGACACGGCCCAG
Molecule: ribosomal RNA, 303 nt
Filed under: uncultured bacterium
Lineage: Bacteria
Description: bacterial SSU rRNA
Rfam family: Bacterial small subunit ribosomal RNA
Source: RNAcentral